Molecule: ribosomal RNA, 152 nt
Filed under: Paenibacillus polymyxa
Lineage: Bacteria; Bacillati; Bacillota; Bacilli; Caryophanales; Paenibacillaceae
Description: partial 16S ribosomal RNA
Rfam family: Bacterial small subunit ribosomal RNA
Source: RNAcentral
UUAAUGGAGAGUUUGAUCCUGGCUCAGGACGAACGCUGGCGGCGUGCCUAAUACAUGCAAGUCGAGCGGGGUUGAUUAGAAGCUUGCUUCUAAUCAACCUAGCGGCGGACGGGUGAGUAACACGUAGGCAACCUGCCCACAAGACAGGGAUA